UCUCCGGUGGCCUAGUGGUUAGAGCGACCACUUCAGAUGCAGGAGAAAGUGGGUUUGAACCCCGUUCGAGUAA
This is a non-coding RNA of Potamilus streckersoni, 73 nucleotides long. The record is from the annotation of a GenBank genome assembly. NCBI's taxonomy places the organism in Eukaryota, Metazoa, Mollusca, Bivalvia, Unionida, Unionidae.